GGGACCAAACCAUCUCGACGAUUAGGUCAACUCUUAACCUAAUCGGGUCAAACCCAACUGAAUCCAAUUCAAUUGGACUUGAUCCAAAAAUAAUUACUCAAUCAAAUUGAGUUAAUUAGUGAUCAAAUCACUAAUUAAACCUCUCAUAAAUAUUGAGUCCAAAUUCGAUGGAUAAUCGGGCAUCAGAAUUCAUCGAUAUGUAACCCUGAUCGAAGAGUCCCAAACCAGUGGGACUCUUGACCCCGGUACCCAAAAUGUGUGGGACUCGUGAUCAGAGAAUUCUGAUUCUC
RNAcentral lists this long non-coding RNA (290 nucleotides) under Elaeis guineensis (African oil palm). RNAcentral's name for it is "long non-coding RNA (EGUI_LNC048714)". Lineage: Eukaryota; Viridiplantae; Streptophyta; Magnoliopsida; Arecales; Arecaceae. The record is from RNAcentral.